UAUAAGAGCGGAGGCCGUGAACCGCUGCCUGUAACUGGGCGCCUGGGCAGCGGGGAGCCGCUGGCGCACCCGGCCGCUUACCAG
This 84-nucleotide non-coding RNA is filed under the name Desulfofundulus kuznetsovii. RNAcentral's name for it is "Desulfotomaculum kuznetsovii c-di-GMP sequence". It matches the Rfam family "Cyclic di-GMP-II riboswitch aptamer". The record is from RNAcentral. Lineage: Bacteria; Bacillati; Bacillota; Clostridia; Eubacteriales; Peptococcaceae.